Molecule: ribosomal RNA, 468 nt
Filed under: uncultured bacterium
Lineage: Bacteria
Description: partial 16S ribosomal RNA
Rfam family: Bacterial small subunit ribosomal RNA
Source: RNAcentral
GACGAACGCUGGCGGCGUGCUUAACACAUGCAAGUCGAACGGAAAGGCCCUGCUUUUGUGGGGUGCUCGAGUGGCGAACGGGUGAGUAACACGUGAGUAACCUGCCCUUGACUUUGGGAUAACUUCAGGAAACUGGGGCUAAUACCGGAUAGGAGCUCCUGCGCCAUGGGGGGGGUGGGAAAGUUUCGGCGGUUGGGGAUGGACUCGCGGCUUAUCAGCUUGUUGGUGGGGUAGUGGCUUACCAAGGCUUUGACGGGUAGCCGGCCUGAGAGGGUGACCGGCCACAUUGGGACUGAGAUACGGCCCAGACUCCUACGGGAGGCAGCAGUGGGGAAUAUUGCACAAUGGGCGGAAGCCUGAUGCAGCAACGCCGCGUGCGGGAUGACGGCCUUCGGGUUGUAAACCGCUUUCGCCUGUGACGAAGCGUGAGUGACGGUAAUGGGUAAAGAAGCACCGGCUAACUACGUG